GCAGGGUCCAAUUAGAUAGAUUCACAGGUCAAAAGUGACAAGUUAGUGUAAUGUCUGUCACGAGAGAAUACCUGCACAAGAUCCACCUCCACAGCCUUUGAUGGCAUGAUAUUUUCUGGUUUGCUCCAGCUGUUUUGUUGCUGCUUCUUGUCUAAUUUUCAGACAGUUUAUAAAUGAACUUAGUUCAUAUUCUGCUUAUGUUACUUUUUCCGGCUAAAUGUUUACAGGAUGACACAGGGGCACAACUCUUGCCAGUUAGUGGCUCCCCUGGGCACCCAGAGAAACAGAGGUAACCUAUUUUCUUUGGCAAGGUUGAGCAGUCACACGGAGACUGUGUUUGUGUUGUUUGAUUGCAUUGCUCCUUUAGGCUUCUUUCUCUUCUUUAAUCUAUCUUUUUCUUUUUUCCUUUUUGUCUCUUUGCCAAGAUUUUCUCAACUUUUACCUCCAUUACUGCUUUUCUUUGAUUUCUCUUAGAAUUUCCUUAUUGCUUUGUCUUCAUUUUCCUCCCUUCCCGUCCCUCUUUUUCACCAUCCACUGUCACACAGCGACAAAGGGGAGAGGUAUUGCUUUGCUGUGUGUUUGCCUGCUUGGUUGCAGGGUUUGUUGUCAGUAAAUGAGGUCAUUAGAAGACACUCUGACCUAACCAAAGGCAUUUGUUCAGCAUGCUGUAUUUUUUUAAUGCUUUUCUUCUUAUAAAUAUACACCUCUGAUGGAAUGGCCAGAUGCUGGGAUCAUUAACAUGUCAUUAUAUCACCCAACAAAUUAGCAUGAAAAAUUUCUUGCCGCGUUCCCUUCACCUCUCUAAACACUACAUACAGUACAGAGAGGUGCAGAUAACUUUCAAUCUGUAUUUCGGGAUUGGCUAUCUACUCUCUCUUUCUUUUUCGGAUGUGCCUACUCCUUUUCUCCAUCCCCUCCUGACUUCUUUCCUUGAUGUAUUGGUACAUCUUGCAGCAGGAUGACACCUUUAUGUGUGCCUCGGGGCCUUUGGAUCAUCUCUCUCUGUGGCACGAAGCCAGAUCCCCGAUGACACCUGUGAGCCUUGGCAGAGCUCCUGGUUUACAGUAGUUGUUAG
Astatotilapia calliptera (eastern happy) is the source of this 1075-nucleotide long non-coding RNA. The record is from Ensembl. NCBI's taxonomy places the organism in Eukaryota, Metazoa, Chordata, Actinopteri, Cichliformes, Cichlidae.